AUACGUAGGUGGCAAGCGUUGUCCGGAUUUACUGGGUGUAAAGGGCGCGUAGGCGGGAUGGCAAGUCAGAUGUGAAAUCUCCGGGCUCAACCCGGAAACUGCAUUUGAAACUGUCGUUCUUGAGUAUCGGAGAGGCAAGCGGAAUUCCUAGUGUAGCGGUGAAAUGCGUAGAUAUUAGGAGGAACACCAGUGGCGAAGGCGGCUUGCUGGACGACAACUGACGCUGAGGCACGAAAGCGUGGGGAUCAAACAGGAUUAGAUACCCUGGUAGUCCACGCAGUAAACGAUGAUGGCUAACCGCUGGGCUUAUCAGUUCAGUGGCCAAGCGAAAGCGAUAAGCCAUCCACCUGGGGAGUACGACCGCAAGGUUGAAACUCAAAGGAAUUGGCGGGG
Molecule: ribosomal RNA, 393 nt
Filed under: uncultured bacterium
Lineage: Bacteria
Description: partial 16S ribosomal RNA
Rfam family: Bacterial small subunit ribosomal RNA
Source: RNAcentral